AACGAACGCUGGCGGCAUGCCUAACACAUGCAAGUCGAACGAGACCUUCGGGUCUAGUUGCGCACGGGUGCGUCACGCGUGGGAACCUUCCCUUAGGUUCGGAAUAACUCCCCGAAAGGGGUGCUAAUACCGGAUAAUUUCUUCGGACCAAUGAUUUAUCGCCUUUGGAUGGGCCCGCGUUGGAUUAGCUAGUUGGUAGGGUAAAAGCCUACCAAGGCGACGAUCCAUAGCUGGUCUGAGAGGAUGGUCAGCCACACUGGGACUGAGACACGGCCCAGACUCCUACGGGAGGCAGCAGUGGGGAACAUUGGACAAUGGGCGAAAGCCUGAGCCAGCAAGGCCGCGUGAGUGAUGAAGGCCUUAGGGUUGUAAAGCUCUGUUACCCGGGAUGAUAAUGACAGUACCGGGAGAAUAAGCGCCGGCUAACUCCGUG
This 433-nucleotide ribosomal RNA is filed under the name uncultured bacterium. Its description in RNAcentral is "partial 16S ribosomal RNA". It matches the Rfam family "Bacterial small subunit ribosomal RNA", at positions 29 to 507 of the family's 1533-position model. The record is from RNAcentral.